ACUAUGUCUGGGAGUGGCACACUGCUCAGUAACACGUAGCUAACCUACCCUUAGGACGUGGAUACCCCCGAGAAAUUGGGGUUAAUCCGCGAUAGAUGUAAUGUCCUGGAAUGGUAUUACGUCUAAAGGUAUUUCAUACAUGUUUGAAAUAUGCCUAAGGAUGGGGCUGCGGCCGAUCAGGCUGUUGGUGAGGUAAUGGCUCACCAAACCUUUGACCGGUACGGGCCAUGAGAGUGGUAGCCCGGAGAUGGACACUGAGACAAGGGUCCAGGCCCUAAGGGGCGCAGCAACCGCGAAACCUCCACAAUGCACUCACGUGCGAUGGGGCUAUCUCGAGUGCCACCUGAUGAAGGUGGCUUUUCCUUGGUCUUCAAAGCCUUGGGAAUAAGAGGGGGGCAAGACUGGUGUCAGCCGCCGCGGUAACACCAGCCCCUCGAGUGGUGGGGAUGAUUAUUUGGCCUAAAGCGUCCGUAGCCGGCCGUGAAAGUCUUCCGUUAAAUCCAGCGUCUCAAGCGUUGGACCGCGGGAGAUACUACAUGGCUAGAGAGUGGGAGAGGUCAGCGGUAUUCUGGGGGUAGGGGCGAAAUCCUUUGAUCCCCGGAGGACCACCAGUGGCGAAGGCUGCUGACUAGAACACGUCUGACGGUCAGGGACGAAAGCUGGGGUAGCGAACCGGAUUAGAUACCCGGGUAGUCCCAGCCGUAAACGAUGCAUGCUAGGUGUUGGGUUGGCCACGAGCCACCCCAGUGCCGCAGGGAAGCCGUUAAGCAUGCCGCCUGGGAAGUACGAUCGCAAGAUUGAAACUUAAAGGAAUUGGCGGGGGAGCACCACCAGGCGUGAAGCCUGCGGUUUAAUUGGAUUCAACGCCGGG
This 871-nucleotide ribosomal RNA is filed under the name uncultured archaeon. RNAcentral describes it as "bacterial SSU rRNA". It matches the Rfam family "Archaeal small subunit ribosomal RNA", at positions 65 to 922 of the family's 1478-position model. The record is from RNAcentral.